Molecule: small RNA, 585 nt
Filed under: Pongo abelii (Sumatran orangutan)
Lineage: Eukaryota; Metazoa; Chordata; Mammalia; Primates; Hominidae
Description: processed transcript
Source: RNAcentral
GUACCGGGAUUCCGGCCGAGCACCGUGCGGGGAGUCUCAGCCCCGCUCUCUCUCACUGCUCUUCCCAGAGAGGACGCUCAUGCUGCCCCUGACUGAGGGCUCGCUGCGGCUGCGGGCGGACGAUGAGGACAGCCUGACCUCAGAGGAUUCCUUCUUCUCUGCCACCGAGCUCUUUGAGUCCCUGCAGACCGGAGAUUACCCGAUCCCACUCUCCAGACCCGCUGCUGCCUACGAGGAGGCCCUGCAGCUGGUGAAGGAGGGCAGAGUGCCCUGCCGGACCCUCAGGGGCUUCUGGAAGACAAGAGUAACCAGCUUUUCUUCGGGAAAGUGGGCCGACAGAUGGUGACAGGCCUGAUGACCAAGGCUGAGAAGAGCCCCAAAGGCUUCCUGGAGAGCUACGAGGAGAUGCUGAGCUAUGCCCUGCGGCCCGAGACCUGGGCCACGACACGGCUGGAGCUGGAGGGCCGAGGGGUGGUAUGCAUGAGCUUCUUCGAUAUCGUGCUGGACUUCAUCCUCAUGGACGCCUUUGAGGACCUGGAGAACCCCCCGGCCUCGGUGCUCGCCGUCCUGCGGAACCGCUGGCUG